UACGUAGGGUGCGAGCGUUGUCCGGAAUUAUUGGGCGUAAAGGGCUCGUAGGCGGUUUGUCGCGUCUGCUGUGAAAACCUAAGGCUCAACCUUGGGCUUGCAGUGGGUACGGGCAGACUAGAGUGCGGCAGGGGAGACUGGAAUUCCUGGUGUAGCGGUGGAAUGCGCAGAUAUCAGGAGGAACACCGGUGGCGAAGGCGGGUCUCUGGGCCGUUACUGACGCUGAGGAGCGAAAGCGUGGGGGAGCGAACAGG
RNAcentral lists this ribosomal RNA (254 nucleotides) under uncultured bacterium. Its description in RNAcentral is "partial 16S ribosomal RNA". It matches the Rfam family "Bacterial small subunit ribosomal RNA", at positions 524 to 776 of the family's 1533-position model. The record is from RNAcentral.